This is a long non-coding RNA of Paralichthys olivaceus (Japanese flounder), 449 nucleotides long. RefSeq lists it as uncharacterized. The record is from RefSeq and is a predicted model, not a curated record. Lineage: Eukaryota; Metazoa; Chordata; Actinopteri; Pleuronectiformes; Paralichthyidae.
UGUGUGGGCGCUCUACUUGCAGGAAAUUGUCAGAGCUCAGGGAUUUCAGUUUUCCCUGAGAAUGGCUCCCUGAUGCAUAGGAAAUAAGUGCUCCUCGAGAUUCUAAAGACAGAGGCGCGUCCAGCAUGUCCCGUGUGUGGAUAUGUUUGAGUCUGCUCUGCGCUGCCACCCACUCUCUACAAAGCAAUGCUCCGCCAGCAGUGAAUAUGAGGUGCAACGAAACAGUGGAAGUGGAAGCUGGAAAACCUUUGACAGUAUACUGUACUGUAAAUUAUAUUGACCAGCCAGUCUGUAGAAUUACACAGGCACAGCUGAACACAAAUAGCAACGUAACAUAUGACUAUGAAAUUAAAAGUAACACUUCUGUGUUGCUGAAUGUCUCAAAUGUCACGAAAGACAAUAACUGGACUGUGGAGGUAGAAACAGACUGUGGUUCUACCAACUUAGUC